This 569-nucleotide ribosomal RNA is filed under the name Fusarium proliferatum. RNAcentral's name for it is "eukaryotic LSU rRNA". It matches the Rfam family "Eukaryotic large subunit ribosomal RNA", at positions 34 to 626 of the family's 3401-position model. Lineage: Eukaryota; Fungi; Ascomycota; Sordariomycetes; Hypocreales; Nectriaceae. The record is from RNAcentral.
UUAAGCAUAUCAAUAAGCGGAGGAAAAGAAACCAACAGGGAUUGCCCUAGUAACGGCGAGUGAAGCGGCAACAGCUCAAAUUUGAAAUCUGGCUCUCGGGCCCGAGUUGUAAUUUGUAGAGGAUACUUUUGAUGCGGUGCCUUCCGAGUUCCCUGGAACGGGACGCCAUAGAGGGUGAGAGCCCCGUCUGGUUGGAUGCCAAAUCUCUGUAAAGUUCCUUCGACGAGUCGAGUAGUUUGGGAAUGCUGCUCUAAAUGGGAGGUAUAUGUCUUCUAAAGCUAAAUACCGGCCAGAGACCGAUAGCGCACAAGUAGAGUGAUCGAAAGAUGAAAAGCACUUUGAAAAGAGAGUUAAAAAGUACGUGAAAUUGUUGAAAGGGAAGCGUUUAUGACCAGACUUGGGCUUGGUUAAUCAUCUGGGGUUCUCCCCAGUGCACUUUUCCAGUCCAGGCCAGCAUCAGUUUUCCCCGGGGGAUAAAGACUUCGGGAAUGUGGCUCUCUUCGGGGAGUGUUAUAGCCCGUUGUGUAAUACCCUGGGGGGGACUGAGGUUCGCGCAUCUGCAAGGAUGC